Molecule: long non-coding RNA, 595 nt
Organism: Camelus dromedarius (Arabian camel)
Lineage: Eukaryota; Metazoa; Chordata; Mammalia; Artiodactyla; Camelidae
Exons: 3
Source: RefSeq, a predicted model, not a curated record
AUAUGGAAGUGAAUAAUUAGAUAUGUUUUAUGAUGCUCAUAUAUUUGUGGGUUUUAAAAAGAUAUAAAGACCAACAGGCCAUUUGUUAUGCAGUUGGUUUUGCUUGAGACAAGACAUCUUUCAUUCAUUCGUUUUCAGUUCUGUGAAAGACCGUGUGUGUAGUUGUUUACCUAUGAAUGUUGCCGAAUGGGAUGUACGGAAACGACAUCGGGUGAAAGACAACAAGCGGCUUCACAUUCCUGAAGGUUUGAAAAAAUAAAGUGACUCCUGUUCAUCCCCAAGCAGAAGAUGGGCUGUCAGCUGGCAAAAAAAAGUGUGCAUGAUAUUUGCAGAUGAUGGAGCACCAUCUCAAAAGGAAGUCAUGCCUGCCAUGCCUGCCUCCAAAGAGUCUUGCGAGGAAGAGCCAAAGAAGAGAUGUAUUAGAAUCACCCAGGAAAAUAAACUGUUCAAGUAGGUGUCCUCGUUAAUAUCAGAAUUUCCUUGUGAUUAAUAAUGAGUGUGGCACUGUGCAAGUCCUUACUGCAAGCAUGUGGUGUCAGCUCAGGUGGUGGCCCUCCCGAGUGACUCAGAAAAGGAUGUGCAUCUUAGCACAGAA